UCCGGUUUGUCACCGGCAGUCACCUUAGAGUGCCCAACUGAAUGCUGGCAACUAAGAUCAAGGGUUGCGCUCGUUGCGGGACUUAACCCAACACCUCACGGCACGAGCUGACGACAGCCAUGCAGCACCUGAACCGGCAGUCCCCGAAGGGAAAAUCCUAUUUCUAGGACGGUCCACCGUUGUCUAGCCCAGGUAAGGUUCUUCGCGUAGCGUCGAAUUGAACCACAUGCUCCACCGCUUGUGCGGGCCCCCGUCAAUUUCUUUGAGUUUUAAUCUUGCGACCGUACUUCCCAGGCGGCGUAUUUAUCGCGUUAGCUACGCCACAAACGGGGUCGAUUCCGUUUACAGCAGAUACGCACCGUUUACAGCCAAGACUAC
RNAcentral lists this unclassified non-coding RNA (378 nucleotides) under uncultured bacterium. RNAcentral describes it as "contains 16S-23S intergenic spacer region". The record is from RNAcentral.